UUUUCUGAAAUCGUGCUUAAUUAUUAUUAGCUAAUCGGCGCUACACCGUUGUUCAAAUACUUAUAAUUGCAAGAAACCCCCGACUAGGACCAGCAGGUAAGAAUCUGUCUUGAUUUUAUAGUAAUGCCCGGUUGCAAUUAUUGGCCGCCAUCUUUGAUUUUUAUAGACGUUCGGGCCAAAAAAAAAGGAGAAAUGUAUAUCCAGACAUGGACUAUAGCUAGAUACUAACUUUUGUGUUAGUUGUUUAUUUGAAAUGUAAUCUUAAUAUUUCUGUAAAAGAAAAAAAACAACAACAAACAAAUCAGCCUUUUUUUAAUAUCAAUGUCAUCAAUGUGUAGGCCUAAUAAUUAGACUUUCAAUGAUUCAGAAGUUUCUCUACAGUUUCGUUAUUUUUUUUCCAGUCAUUGAUGUUAGCAUAUGUACUACACAAAGAAAAACAGUUUCCAUAUUAGAUGCCAUAGCAAAUCAAAGAUCAUAUAAUAAAAUAAGUCAAAAAACCCAAAUAUGGGAAAAAAAAGAGCUGAAGAAAUGGUGAUUUGAGCACCUAUGAUUUCUCAUAGUUGUUUUUUGAGGAAAGAUCAAGACAGUUGAAAAUGGCUAUUCAUAUUAUGGAAACUUUUUCUCACAGAGCUUGAUAAUCAGGUAAAAUGCUGGAACACCCUUGAAAGAGUAUUUGGUGUAUGAUAACAACAAGAGAACCCAAGCAUCAAUUUAUUUUAUACUUCUGGGAAAGAAUGCAUUUGACCCAAUUUUUAAAUAUUUAUUUUUUGUUAUUAAUGUUAAAUUUUCUUCCAAAACACAAUUAGAUUUUAAUUCUCUUCAAAUAUGUAUGUAUAAUAUAGCAAGUAAACUGACAUAUAAAUCACUUAGAAUUUGGUCGGAAAUCAUAAAGUAUUUAAUAGGCAUUACUAGAAACCAAAUGUAGAUCAAAUACACCCAGAAUUACAAAAAACCUUGACCUACAUUAAGGUGACUUUCCCUUGCUUAUGAAAUGAAAUACGUUUUAAUAUCCUGCUUUUCUGUGUUCUUAGAGUGAUUCUACCCUACCCUUAUAUCAAAUAUUUCAACUGUCAAGGGUUCUUUAAAGGGUACCCAGGGGGGCCGAAUGGUUAACACGCACACAUUUGAUCAGAAGGUCUGUCAUUGAUUCAAAUAAUUCAAUUUUCAAGGGUUCUUCAAAGUGUACGCAAUUGGGUUGGUUUCAAUUCUGGGGGGUGGGGGUGGAUGGCCGAAUGGUUAGCACGUGCAUGCUGUAUCAUACGGCCUCCUGUCAUUGAGUCAACUGGCAUGGUUUCGAAUCCCCGGUUGUAGACAAGGAGAAGGGUCGCCUGUCCAAUCUUGUGGGUUUUCUCCGGGACCUCCGGUUUCCUCCCACUGCUAAAGACCCCUACGCGCUAGCGAAUUAUUGAAAUAAAAUUAAACCAUAUGUUAAUCCCAAAAUGAUCUAGUUUGUGUCGAGUAGAUGUUAAACCCCAUUUCUCUCUGUCUCUCUCUCUUUUGAUUCUGGGCUUGUACCCAAUUAUCCCUUGCCAUAUCCAACACUGAAAAGUGGGAACUAUGCCGGAAAAUCCAGUUGAAAUUUCGCGGCCAACGCCUUAUGCUCACUGAACCACUGUGGCUUAUGACUUGUGAUUGUAUAUAAAUCUUUUGUACAUAUGAUAUUUUUUUAUUUCAAUCCUGUAAUCUUGAUGCUUUGCUUCUUUUAUUUAUAAAAUAUUCAUUUUGUUUGGGGUUUUUUUAAUGAGGAAAAGGCUCUACAUCAUUUUAUUACUCCUGCAAAAUAGAGCAAUUUUCUUUUGUUAGUUUUCUGUGUAUGCUAGUUAUUUCUAGAUGCCUCACAAAUCACUUGUAGUGUGAUUUUGUAGCAUUUUUCAGUUUUUGAAAUUGUUUCAAUUUAGUGCAUAAUUAAUCUUAUUAGUGCUUAGUUUGGAUGUUAUUAAAUUUAGAUAUAUUUGAAUUAUAUAUUUUGGGGUAUGGGGUAGGGAUACUGUGUACAUAUCUUUAUAUUCUCAGUUCUUGUUUUGGGGUAAAGAACAAUUUAAAUAGCUAUUUUAUAUUUUGUGAUGGGUAAAGUGUGUGGGGCAAAAAACAAUUUAAAUAGCUAUUUUAUAUUUUGUGAUGGGUAAA
Molecule: long non-coding RNA, 2127 nt
Organism: Patella vulgata (common limpet)
Lineage: Eukaryota; Metazoa; Mollusca; Gastropoda; Patellidae
Exons: 4
Source: RefSeq, a predicted model, not a curated record